RNAcentral lists this ribosomal RNA (301 nucleotides) under uncultured bacterium. RNAcentral's name for it is "partial 16S ribosomal RNA". It matches the Rfam family "Bacterial small subunit ribosomal RNA", at positions 509 to 807 of the family's 1533-position model. The record is from RNAcentral.
CAGUCGCCACGGUAACACGUAGGGUGCAUGCGUUAAUCGGAAUUACUGGGCGUAAAGCGUGCGCAGGCGGUUAUAUAAGACAGAUGUGAAAUCCCCGGGCUCAACCUGGGAACUGCAUUUGUGACUGUAUAGCUAGAGUACGGCAGAGGGGGAUGGAAUUCCGCGUGUAGCAGUGAAAUGCGUAGAUAUGCGGAGGAACACCGAUGGCGAAGGCAAUCCCCUGGGCCUGUACUGACGCUCAUGCACGAAAGCGUGGGGAGCAAACAGGAUUAGAUACCCCUGUAGUCCCUGUCUCUUAUAC